ACGUAGGGGGCGAGCGUUGUCCGGAUUUAUUGGGCGUAAAGAGCGUGUAGGCGGCCAGAUAGGUCUGCUGUGAAAACUCGAGGCUCAACCUCGAGCUGUCGGUGGAAACCAUCUGGCUAGAGUCCGGAAGAGGAGAGUGGGAUUCCUGGUGUAGCGGUGAAAUGCGCAGAUAUCAGGAAGAACACCUAUGGCGAAGGCAGCUCUCUGGGACGGUACUGACGCUGAGACGCGAAAGCGUGGGGAGCGAACAGGA
RNAcentral lists this ribosomal RNA (253 nucleotides) under uncultured prokaryote. Its description in RNAcentral is "partial 16S ribosomal RNA". It matches the Rfam family "Bacterial small subunit ribosomal RNA", at positions 525 to 777 of the family's 1533-position model. The record is from RNAcentral.